This 751-nucleotide ribosomal RNA is filed under the name Streptomyces sp. GTVA1. Its description in RNAcentral is "bacterial SSU rRNA". It matches the Rfam family "Bacterial small subunit ribosomal RNA", at positions 82 to 845 of the family's 1533-position model. Lineage: Bacteria; Bacillati; Actinomycetota; Actinomycetes; Kitasatosporales; Streptomycetaceae. The record is from RNAcentral.
UCGGGGUGGAUUAGUGGCGAACGGGUGAGUAACACGUGGGCAAUCUGCCCUUCACUCUGGGACAAGCCCUGGAAACGGGGUCUAAUACCGGAUAAUACUUUCCCUCUCAUGGGGGAAGGUUAAAAGCUCCGGCGGUGAAGGAUGAGCCCGCGGCCUAUCAGCUAGUUGGUGGGGUAAUGGCCUACCAAGGCGACGACGGGUAGCCGGCCUGAGAGGGCGACCGGCCACACUGGGACUGAGACACGGCCCAGACUCCUACGGGAGGCAGCAGUGGGGAAUAUUGCACAAUGGGCGAAAGCCUGAUGCAGCGACGCCGCGUGAGGGAUGACGGCCUUCGGGUUGUAAACCUCUUUCAGCAGGGAAGAAGCGAAAGUGACGGUACCUGCAGAAGAAGCGCCGGCUAACUACGUGCCAGCAGCCGCGGUAAUACGUAGGGCGCAAGCGUUGUCCGGAAUUAUUGGGCGUAAAGAGCUCGUAGGCGGCUUGUUGCGUCGGUUGUGAAAGCCCGGGGCUUAACCCCGGGUCUGCAGUCGAUACGGGCAGGCUAGAGUGUGGUAGGGGAGAUCGGAAUUCCUGGUGUAGCGGUGAAAUGCGCAGAUAUCAGGAGGAACACCGGUGGCGAAGGCGGAUCUCUGGGCCAUUACUGACGCUGAGGAGCGAAAGCGUGGGGAGCGAACAGGAUUAGAUACCCUGGUAGUCCACGCCGUAAACGUUGGGAACUAGGUGUUGGCGACAUUCCACGUCGUCGGUG